Molecule: non-coding RNA, 1358 nt
Organism: Cinara cedri
Lineage: Eukaryota; Metazoa; Arthropoda; Insecta; Hemiptera; Aphididae
Source: the annotation of a GenBank genome assembly
CUACAAAAAACAAAAUAAUACUGUGCAAUUUUUUGUACUCAUUUCUUUUAUACAUCUAAAAAUUUAAAAUAACGCGUCAACGAUAAUACAAAAUAAUAUAAUAUAUAAUAAUUAUCAAAUAUUCUCCUUAAGUAUUUUGAUGCGAUUAAUAUAUAAUAAAAACAUAAUAUCAAAUUGUUAAAAAUAUGAUGAGGCACUUUCCAGGUAACUAAUUAACACAACUAGGCACAAAAUAUAAUGUGGAUAUAAAAAAAAAAAAAAUUAUAUAAUUAAUAAAGUUUUAUGCUCGGUGUUUGAAAAUUCGGCAAUUCAGGCUGUAGAAAAAAUAUUAUAUUUAAUUCUUGCUGUAUAUUAUCAUUAAAAGUACGUUUAAACAUAAAUAAAAAUUACAUAAAAAAAAAAAAAAAAAAAAAAAACCGAACAAUAUAAUAUAUACUACGAACCAAUAUUGUUAUUUGGCACAAUACAAAGUCUAAAAGUUUGAUGAAAAAAUGAAAAAAAAAAAAAUCCGACACUUAAAAUACCUUAAAAUACUAAUAAACACGCGAACUGAAAUGCAAGGUGGACGUAUGUGUAUUUUGUAAAUCCGUCGCGAUAAUUCCUAACGUUAUGGCGGUUAAAAAAAAAAAAAAAAAAAAACAGUCUACCGGCCUCGUUGAUAACGUUGAUACGCGCGCGAUGAAAUCGUAACGUUAUCGGUGACGAUGACAUAUUGCAAAACGCGGUUUACGAAGUAAAAAACCGGAUCGCCGACCGAACGGGAAGUGGUGAGUGUAGUGGUUUUUGUUAUUGAAAAUUACGGAAAAAAAAAAUAAAAAUAAAGAACAACCGGAAUUCGAAUUCACGCGCCGUUCGACAACUUACUGUCGUCGUCGUCGUCGCCCCGUACAUUAUUAUUAACCGGUCUGUCAUAGUCGUGGAAAAAAGAAAAAUUUUACGGUUAAAAAACAUUCGAUUCUCGUUCUCCCCACCCCCGUUGCCGGUGACGAACGACACGGACACUCGCGUGGGCGAUUUCGUAGCAGAACGAAACGAAAUGGCGGCGCGGAGUCGGCCGCCCACCGCGUUUCGCGCGACACGACCCGUCGAAGUUGCAAUCGUUUCCGGGGAGGGGGGGCCGACAACAGAACGGCACGACGAUGCAGGCGGCCGCCGAAAUCGAAUCGUAUGCGUUCGCCCGAAAUCUCGUAACACGCCCGUCCGAAGACACGGGCGCGGCGGGCACAGCGGCGUGCGCGAAUCCCGUCGCGGAACAGCGGACGCCGGUCCGGUGGAAAUUGAAAACCCGCGAUUGUCGACAUGCGCGAAAACGGGUACAGGCGUAGAAUGCCUCGGAACGCGGUUUUUCCGUUUCAAAA